This 400-nucleotide ribosomal RNA is filed under the name uncultured bacterium. RNAcentral describes it as "bacterial SSU rRNA". It matches the Rfam family "Bacterial small subunit ribosomal RNA", at positions 29 to 416 of the family's 1533-position model. The record is from RNAcentral.
AAUCAACGCUGGCGGCGUGCCUAACACAUGCAAGUCGAGCGCGAAAGGGGAGCAAUCCCCAAGUAGAGCGGCGAACGGGUGAGUAACGCGUGGGUAAUCUGCCUCCGAGUGGGGAACAACACCGGGAAACUGGUGCUAAUACCGCAUGACAUCGUUGGACCUUCGGAUCUGACGAUCAAAGCCGGGGACCGCAAGGCCUGGCGCUUGGAGAGGAGCCCGCGUCCGAUUAGCAGUUGGUGGGGUAAUGGCCCACCAAGGCUACGAUCGGUAGCCGGCCUGAGAGGGCGGACGGCCACACUGGGACUGAGACACGGCCCAGACUCCUACGGGAGGCAGCAGUGGGGAAUUUUCGCAAUGGGCGAAAGCCUGACGAAGCAACGCCGCGUGGAGGAUGAAGGCC